Molecule: long non-coding RNA, 846 nt
Organism: Benincasa hispida (wax gourd)
Lineage: Eukaryota; Viridiplantae; Streptophyta; Magnoliopsida; Cucurbitales; Cucurbitaceae
Source: RefSeq, a predicted model, not a curated record
CCUCAUGCACGCGCAUGCAAUGCUCUCAAUAGCAUUGCAAUGCUAUGAGUUUUCUUCUCAGAACUUAAUUUUCGUUCUCCCUCUCAAACGAACCCGAUUGAUCACAUUUUCAUUCUCCCACUUUGUUGCUGCCCUAGCUUCCUUCUCAAACGAAGUCAACCAGCUCCCUCCCAUGGAAGCAUUCACGCUGCCGCCACUCUUUCCUCCCUGUUGCCCAAGCUUUUGUUUCAUCUCAAGCUUUCUUGACGCCGUAGCUUCGCAUCAGCUUCAUCUCCAAGAAGUUCAUUAGGGUUCAAAGGAUAUUUGCAUUUCGUCGAUAACAAAGUUUGCAUCCCUCUAUUUUCGCUUAAGGUUACUGUCCAUCUGUACUAAGAUCCUUGAGGUCUUUUACAAUGCCCACAAAGCUGUACUUCAUCCAACAGGUCCACUUCUUGAUCAAGAAACUCAGACUCUAAAGCCUAGGUGUGUCCGGACGUUGAAACGAAUAUUUAUUCUUUAUGAUCAUGAUAAAGACGGUGCUUUGAGUGAUGCGGAGUUGAAUCAUUUUCAGGUCUUCCUGUCCGUCCACAAUUUUUUUGGCAAACACCUUAUAAAUUUUUUAUUAUUUGUAAUAUUUGUGCCUGCAAUGGCUGACUUGACUCUAUGGAGCUCUUAUUAUUGUUAUUUUUUUGUUAAUCUUGUAAUCAGGUUAAAUGUUUCAAUGCUCCUUUACAACCUUCUGAAAUUGUGGGGGUUAAGAGGGUUGUGCAAGAAAAACUUACUGAAGGAGUGAAUGAUCAUGGGCUCACUUUGACAAGGUUCCUCUUUCUUCAUGCUUUAUUGAUUGAGAAGGGGCGUUUAGAGAUA